UACGUACGCCACAGANGNGUAACACCUGGAAACAGAUGCUAAUACCGGAUAACAACACUAGACGCAUGUCUAGAGUUUAAAAGAUGGUUCUGCUAUCACUCUUGGAUGGACCUGCGGUGCAUUAGCUAGUUGGUAAGGUAACGGCUUACCAAGGCAAUGAUGCAUAGCCGAGUUGAGAGACUGAUCGGCCACAUUGGGACUGAGACACGGCCCAAACUCCUACGGAAGGCAGCAG
RNAcentral lists this ribosomal RNA (235 nucleotides) under uncultured bacterium. Its description in RNAcentral is "partial 16S ribosomal RNA". It matches the Rfam family "Bacterial small subunit ribosomal RNA", at positions 123 to 354 of the family's 1533-position model. The record is from RNAcentral.